This 84-nucleotide microRNA precursor is filed under the name Bombyx mori (domestic silkworm). Its description in RNAcentral is "mir-2807 microRNA precursor family". It matches the Rfam family "mir-2807 microRNA precursor family". Lineage: Eukaryota; Metazoa; Arthropoda; Insecta; Lepidoptera; Bombycidae. The record is from Rfam by way of RNAcentral.
UUAGCUCAUAUUUGUAUGGAAUGGGAUCGUUUGCGUACGUUUACCGCUAGGGGCGCUGUUCCAACUGCAUACAAAAUUGGCUUA